UAUAAUUUACAGGGGAGCUUGUGGGACAGGCUGAGAGGAAGGUUAAACCUUCGACCCUUCGACCUGAUUUGGUUAAUGCCAGCGUAGGGAGUCUGAUUUUGUUAUGU
Molecule: regulatory RNA element, 107 nt
Organism: Ruminococcus flavefaciens 007c
Lineage: Bacteria; Bacillati; Bacillota; Clostridia; Eubacteriales; Oscillospiraceae
Rfam family: TPP riboswitch aptamer (THI element)
About the family: Vitamin B(1) in its active form thiamin pyrophosphate (TPP) is an essential coenzyme that is synthesised by coupling of pyrimidine and thiazole moieties in bacteria. The previously detected thiamin-regulatory element, thi box was extended, resulting in a new, highly conserved RNA secondary structure, the THI element, which is widely distributed in eubacteria and also occurs in some archaea. Analysis of operon structures identified a large number of new candidate thiamin-regulated genes, mostly transporters, in various prokaryotic organisms.
Source: Rfam